Long non-coding RNA from Gossypium raimondii (Peruvian cotton), 88 nucleotides. RefSeq lists it as uncharacterized. The record is from RefSeq and is a predicted model, not a curated record. NCBI's taxonomy places the organism in Eukaryota, Viridiplantae, Streptophyta, Magnoliopsida, Malvales, Malvaceae. The transcript is spliced from 3 exons.
GGUUAGGGUUUUCAUGUAAAAUAGGUUAGGGUUAGGGUUUUUAAUUAAAUUAAGUUAGGUUAGGGUUUUUAAUUAAGUUAGGUUAGGG